This 253-nucleotide ribosomal RNA is filed under the name uncultured bacterium. Its description in RNAcentral is "partial 16S ribosomal RNA". It matches the Rfam family "Bacterial small subunit ribosomal RNA", at positions 524 to 776 of the family's 1533-position model. The record is from RNAcentral.
UACAGAGGUCCCGAGCGUUGUUCGGAUUCACUGGGCGUAAAGGGUGCGCAGGUGGGUUGGCAAGUUCGAUGUGAAAGCCCCGGGCUUAACCCGGGAAUGGCAUUGGAUACUGCUGAUCUGGAGGAUCGGAGGGGGGACUGGAAUUCUUGGUGUAGCAGUGAAAUGCGUAGAUAUCAAGAGGAACACCAGUGGCGAAAGCGAGUCCCUGGACGAUACCUGACACUGAGGCACGAAAGCCAAGGGAGCAAACAGG